This 199-nucleotide unclassified non-coding RNA is filed under the name uncultured fungus. RNAcentral's name for it is "sequence contains ITS1". The record is from RNAcentral. Lineage: Eukaryota; Fungi.
AUCACAACCAGAACUAGUGCAUAAGGAGCUUGUUGGGAAGAGAAAAGUUAUGACAUCUGAGUUGUAUGAAGCUGUUGAAAAAGGAGACGUGGAAAACUUCGUGGACGCGUUGCAGAGAACAUGUGAUGAAAGGAGAACACCCUUGCAUGCUAUUUUCGAUCAAGUUACCUGCGCAGGUGAUUCAUUGCUUCAUGUGGCA